RNAcentral lists this ribosomal RNA (731 nucleotides) under Sphingobacterium sp. GWS-SE-H160. RNAcentral describes it as "bacterial SSU rRNA". It matches the Rfam family "Bacterial small subunit ribosomal RNA", at positions 10 to 743 of the family's 1533-position model. The record is from RNAcentral. Lineage: Bacteria; Pseudomonadati; Bacteroidota; Sphingobacteriia; Sphingobacteriales; Sphingobacteriaceae.
AGUUUGAUCCUGGCUCAGGAUGAACGCUAGCGGCAGGCCUAAUAGAUGCAAGUCGAACGGUAGAUUGCUUUCGGGUAAUUGAGAGUGGCGAACGGGUGCGUAACGCGUAUGCAACCUACCCUAUACAGGGGGAUAGCCCGGAGAAAUCUGGAUUAAUACCCCAUAGUAUCAUUGAGCUGCAUGGUUUAAUGAUUAAAGAUUCAUCGGUAUAGGAUGGGCAUGCGUCUGAUUAGCUAGUUGGCGGUGUAACGGACCACCAAGGCUACGAUCAGUAGGGGUUCUGAGAGGAAGGUCCCCCACACUGGCACUGAGAUACGGGCCAGACUCCUACGGGAGGCAGCAGUAGGGAAUAUUGGGCAAUGGACGAGAGUCUGACCCAGCCAUGCCGCGUGCAGGAAGACGGCGUUCUGCGUUGUAAACUGCUUUUAUCUGGGAAGAAAAUGCCUGCGGGGGAAAUUGCCGGUACCAGAUGAAUAAGCACCGGCUAACUCCGUGCCAGCAGCCGCGGUAAUACGGAGGGUGCAAGCGUUGUCCGGAUUUAUUGGGUUUAAAGGGUGCGUAGGCGGCUGUUUAAGUCAGUGGUGAAAGACUCCGGCUCAACCGGAGCAGUGCCAUUGAUACUGGAUAGCUUGAGUAUUGGAGGGGUACAUGGAAUUGAUGGUGUAGCGGUGAAAUGCAUAGAUACCAUCAGGAACACCGAUAGCGAAGGCAUUGUACUGGCCAAUNACUGA